Molecule: signal recognition particle RNA, 300 nt
Filed under: Callithrix jacchus (white-tufted-ear marmoset)
Lineage: Eukaryota; Metazoa; Chordata; Mammalia; Primates; Cebidae
Description: Metazoan signal recognition particle RNA (ENSCJAG00000084122.1)
Rfam family: Metazoan signal recognition particle RNA
About the family: The signal recognition particle (SRP) is a universally conserved ribonucleoprotein. It is involved in the co-translational targeting of proteins to membranes. The eukaryotic SRP consists of a 300-nucleotide 7S RNA and six proteins: SRPs 72, 68, 54, 19, 14, and 9.
Source: Rfam by way of RNAcentral
GCCAGGUGCGGUGGCGCAUACCUGUAGUCCCAGCUACUCGGGAGGCUGAGGUGGGAGGAUCGCUUGAGCCCAGGAGUUCUGGGCUGUAGUGCGCUGUGCUGAUCCGGUGUCCACACUAAGUUCAGCAUCAAUAUGGUGACCUCCUGGGAGCGGGGGACCACCAGGUUACCUAAGGAGGGGUGAACCGGCCCAGGCUGGAAACGGAGCAGGUCAAAACUCCCGUGCUGAUCAGCAGUGGGAUCGCGCCUAUGAAUAGCCACUGCACUCCAGCCUGGGCAACAUAGCGAGACCCUGUCUCUA